UCAUGGCUCAGGAUGAACGCUAGCUACAGGCUUAACACAUGCAAGUCGAGGGGCAGCAUGAUCGAAGCUUGCUUUGAUUGAUGGCGACCGGCGCACGGGUGAGUAACGCGUAUCCAACCUUCCCUAUAGUAGAGGAUAGCCCGGCGAAAGUCGGAUUAAUACUCUAUGUUUUCCAAUGCAGACAUCUAAGUUGGAACAAAGGUUCACCGCUAUAGGAUGGGGAUGCGUCUGAUUAGGUUGUUGGCGGGGUAACGGCCCACCAAGCCUACGAUCAGUAGGGGUUCUGAGAGGAAGGUCCCCCACAUUGGAACUGAGACACGGUCCAAACUCCUACGGGAGGCAGCAGUGAGGAAUAUUGGUCAAUGGGCGAGAGCCUGAACCAGCCAAAAGUAGCGUGCAGGAUGACGGCCCUAUGGGUUGUAAACUGCUUUUAUACGGGGAUAAAGUGAGGGACGUGUCCCUUUUUGUAGGUACCGUAUGAAUAAGGACCGGCUAAUUCCGUGCCAGCCGCAGC
Molecule: ribosomal RNA, 514 nt
Filed under: uncultured bacterium
Lineage: Bacteria
Description: bacterial SSU rRNA
Rfam family: Bacterial small subunit ribosomal RNA
Source: RNAcentral